UAAUUUCUCUGGCCCGCGGGUAAGCGA
This 27-nucleotide small RNA is filed under the name Bombyx mori (domestic silkworm). Its description in RNAcentral is "ovarian small RNA-19955". The record is from RNAcentral. Lineage: Eukaryota; Metazoa; Arthropoda; Insecta; Lepidoptera; Bombycidae.